CUGAAUAGAAACAAGAGGUGCCGUACUCAUAGGACGCUCGAUUGCAAGCAAUGACCGUGUUGGACUGUUGGUAGAAACAAGUCAGGUCAGCUCCGUUCUAAGCUGAAAGAAAUUCGCUUAUGAUUAAAAAGGAGUAGCGAGCUCCCGGACUGUCCAUCCAGAGAGAUACAUACAGAUGUGGACACACAGUCACUCAACACCCGUGGACCCAAACAUCCACGCUGCAGUACCUGCACCAAAACACCCAAACCGAACCUGGCCACAGUAUAAACCGAACCACUAGAAGAGAGUCAUCACCACCAGCGAAACUUCGUCCAAUUAGCACGUAAGGUAUUCAACCGAUUACCCCCCCCCCAAUUCCAACAACAAAUCCAUUUCCUCUAUUCUCCCAUUGCAGAUCUCUCUCCUGGAAAAACCGUACCAAGCGAGAAGCUGGUAAUUGCAAGAGGGCUCUCUAAAUUUGAAGGAACUCCAGUCGCUCUGACAACUAUCGCUUUGGUUGCUGCCCGAGAGACGAAUCGCCCUCCUUGUCGUGCCAGAAGAAGCAGGAAAUUAGCCAGGUUGCGAGUUGAAAAUCGGCCACUCCACAGCUUGGGAUCCAGCUUGCCCCACCUUCCUUUCCACCCCGGAUCCGGGCAAGGGCCCUGCCGGGCGGCGGGGGUUUGGAGGCAUCCCCUUCAUCCCCUCCUUCUCCGCUACCCAUUGCCUUCCAAAGAGCAAACGCUAUAGGGACUGAAAAGCCUGAGAUCCGAAGCAGGACCGAGCUCAGCAAAAGAAUGCAGCUCUAUUCUCGCAAGGGAAAUUAUAAAAAAGUUCAUGUUCACGGUUGCCAUCCACAUGACCGACAGCGGCCAAUGGAAACCCCGAACAACUCAUAAAGUUGUAUUGCAAAGUUGUAAAUUUUCAUAAACAACAACGGAUUUAUGGCCUUUUCCUCAUCACUGAGAAGAGGCAGGUCUUACGGAGGCGCCAUCUUACCAGAAAGGCAGCCCCAGAGUGCUAGGCUUGGCUUUUUGCAGACCCUCUUUGCCCUAGUUUUAUUUAAGGAGCAAUUAGAUACUUUCCCAGCCAGGAGGAGGCCGCGGCGAAGGCCGCUGGGCAGACGCAAGCCGAAUAGAGCUCUGAGCCUCUAGGUCAGCCCUGAGCUCCCUUCCUCCCCCUCCCUUCCCUCUCGGCCUGCUUCAUCCUCCUUCUCCCCCUCUUUUCCCCGGCUGCAGGGGAGUUUUAGUGAAUUUCGAUUUCCUGGGAACCCUUUCCUUCCCCAGGACCCUUUUGCAGCAGCAGCCCCGGAGAUGGGAUGAGAUGGCCUAGAAUGGGCAGGGAUGAUCUGGAAUGGGAUGAGACGGGAUGGACGGGAUGAGAGACGAGAGCCAGCAGCAGGCCCUGCCACAGGCAGCUCGGCCAUCGAGUCCCACACUUUUUUGUCCUGUUUGCAGUCUGGAGCCUGCACCUCAAAGGCUGGAAUCAGAUACUCAGGGAGGCGGAUUAUUCAGCUCGGCUGGACUAGGCUGCCGAGCUAAUCUGGAUCUGAGGGGAGGGACGUGUUUGGGAAAUAGGGCAAAGUCAACUUGGAGAGGGAAGCUCCCUUCCUCGCACCAUCCCCCAGGACCCUACCGUGAGAAAGGUGCAGAUUUGGGGGUCCUCUUACAUAAGUGAAAGGGCGAGUGUUGGCAGAUGGAAAUGUCUGUUCAUGUUCACAUGUAUCCGUGCAGAAACACAUAUCCACAUACAUGUGUAAAUAGCACAUAUUUGUGUCCUUUUACCAUAUGCCCAUAUCACUCAGGCUACAUUUUCCCUCUUUUCUGCCCUCCCUCCCAAAACCCCUUUAUUUCCCCCAGUGCUCUUUAUGGUGCCUGGUGGCGAAUAAAGAAACCUGGUCUAUUGUCACCAAGCA
Long non-coding RNA from Vombatus ursinus (common wombat), 1894 nucleotides. RefSeq lists it as uncharacterized. Lineage: Eukaryota; Metazoa; Chordata; Mammalia; Diprotodontia; Vombatidae. The record is from RefSeq and is a predicted model, not a curated record. The transcript is spliced from 3 exons.